This 505-nucleotide ribosomal RNA is filed under the name uncultured bacterium. Its description in RNAcentral is "partial 16S ribosomal RNA". It matches the Rfam family "Bacterial small subunit ribosomal RNA", at positions 28 to 507 of the family's 1533-position model. The record is from RNAcentral.
GACGAACGCUGGCGGCGUGCCUAAUACAUGCAAGUAGAACGCACAGUUUAUACCGUAGCUUGCUACACCAUAGACUGUGAGUUGCGAACGGGUGAGUAACGCGUAGGUAACCUGCCUGGUAGCGGGGGAUAACUAUUGGAAACGAUAGCUAAUACCGCAUAAUAUUAAUUAUUGCAUGAUAAUUAAUUGAAAGGUGCAAUUGCACCACUACCAGAUGGACCUGCGUUGUAUUAGCUAGUAGGUGAGGUAACGGCUCACCUAGGCGACGAUACAUAGCCGACCUGAGAGGGUGGUCGGCCACACUUGGACUGGGACACGGCCCAGACUCCUACGGGAGGCAGCAGUAGGGAAUCUUCGGCAAUGGACGAAAGUCUGACCGAGCAACGCCGCGUGAGUGAAGAAGGUUUUCGGAUCGUAAAGCUCUGUUGUAAGAGAAGAACGGGUGUGAGAGUGGAAAGUUCACACUGUGACGGUAUCUUACCAGAAAGGGACGGCUAACUACGUG